AACGCGUACGGGUGUUGGGAGACAUUGCCCGGAGAUGGAUUCUGAGACACGAAUCCAGACCCUACGGGGUGCAGCAGGCGCGAAAACUUGGCAAUGCGAGCAAUCGUGACCAGGGAACUCCAAGUGCGUAGGGUAAGACCUACGCUUUUCUUGACUCUUCAAAGGUCUUGGAAUAAGGGGUGGGUAAGGACGGUGCCAGCCGCCGCGGUAAUACCGGCGCCUCAAGUGGUAGUCGCUUUUAUUGGGCCUAAAACGUCCGUAGCCGGUCUGGUGCAUUCGUGGGUAAAUCAACCCGCUCAACGGGUUGAAUUCUGCGAGCACGGCCAGACUUGGGACCGGGAGAGGCGUGGGGUACUCUCAGGGUAGGGGUAAAAUCCUGUCAUCCUGAGAGGACCACCUGUUGCGAAGGCGCCACACUAGAACGGAUCCGACGGUCAGGGACGAAACCUAGGGGCACGAACCGGAUUAGAUACCCGGGUAGUCCUAGGUGUAAACGCUGUGGACUUGAUGUUGGGGGCGCUCCGAGCGCUCUCAGUGUCGAAGCGAAGGUGAUAAGUCCACUGCCUGGGGAGUACGGUCGCAAGGCUGAAACUUAAAGGAAUUGGCGGGGGAGCACUGCAACCUGAGGAUUGUGCGGUUUAAUUGGAUUCAACGCCGGG
RNAcentral lists this ribosomal RNA (659 nucleotides) under uncultured archaeon. RNAcentral's name for it is "bacterial SSU rRNA". It matches the Rfam family "Archaeal small subunit ribosomal RNA", at positions 262 to 922 of the family's 1478-position model. The record is from RNAcentral.